Non-coding RNA from Doryrhamphus excisus (bluestripe pipefish), 2749 nucleotides. NCBI's taxonomy places the organism in Eukaryota, Metazoa, Chordata, Actinopteri, Syngnathiformes, Syngnathidae. The record is from RefSeq and is a predicted model, not a curated record.
CAAAACACACAUGGGGAAGCGCUAGCCGCACAUAGUAGGCUUCGCAAAGUUAUUCCAGCGCAAUAAUUUGCUGUACACUGCUGUAUUAAAUACAUUGUAGGCCCCCGCUACCACUGCCGCGACUGGGAACACUACCUGGGAGCACUACCGAGGAGCAUUUCAUGUAUAUAUCGAACGGAACUGGCCAGGAUUUUUUGGUACAGAGAAAUUGAUGGCGAGCUAAGCGGGGGAGGCUGAGAUCCUGGACUGGCUUGGACUCCACGUGAAUGGACUACCCAGCCGCUCCUUCAGGGCUGGAAAUGAGAGAAUUUGUGCCGCUUCCAGGACAGGAGGAUACCAAGGCAUGCCCAUCUGACUGUACCACUCGGCACAGGAUCAUUAGGAAAUCGCUCCUCUAUAAACGUACGAGUCCACAACCACAAAGAUGAGAGUGAGGCCGACAAUGGAGGCGGUAGGAACAGAGAUGUGUCGAGCCAGAUCUUCCAUCUAUCAUUCAUCAGCUGAAACAAGGAGCCAGAUUUGCACAAACAUGGAAAGGGAUGAAGGGAAAGAAUGGGAAGAGAGCAGGACGGGGAUAAAUGAGAAGGUAAAGGGUGAGCAGUCACCCAACACAGUCAUCAACUCUCUUCCAUCCAUCAUCUGUCUCCAGUCCAGAAGCUGAAAUUGCCCCGCCAGCAACUUCUCCUGUGUAUUACGCAGACAUGUUUAGGAAUAUUUCUGCACCAGCUCAUUCAUGCAAAUGUGUGCUUGUUUUGUAUACAACUUUCCUUUGCGGUCACCAAAACAGACACUCAGCAGUAGCUUUUUGGUUUUUGCUAUUCCAUUCAAAAGGUCAGAUGAAAACUGACUUGCAUUUCCCAUUGCAAAUAAUGCAAAGCCACUGAAUCCCUUCCAGGCACCCCAAAGUAUGUAUGACAACUACAGUAGGUGAAGGCACUACAGUGGAAAUCACGUGAAUUCUGAAAUAUAGAAUGAGUUCUAUGGCACCAUUAGGACUUCAUCUCUCAUAAUGCCAGGAGCCGCCGUGGUGUAGUGGUUCUAACCUCCACUAGUAACCAUCAUUGGUAUUGGUCAGGAAGGGCAUCCGGAAUAUGAAGUGCUCAAGCCAAAAUCAUGCGGUUUGAAAAAAUAUGUGGUCAAACUAUCUGAUGUGGUGACUCCAUAAUCAGGAAAGAGCAGAAACAAACAAACACCUCUCAUAAUGUCAACUUUUUGUCGCAUAUCCUCAGUAGGGUGGGGCUAUGCUGGAGCCUAUCCCAGCUGGACUGGUGGCCAGCCAAUCACAGGGCACAUAUAGAUUCAUAAUUCUGACUUAAUUUAAAAAUUAAAUAAUAAUAAUAUACAAUUAAAUAAUAACAAUAAUUAAAUAAUAAAAUAUAUAUUUAUAUUAUAAUAACAAUUAUUAAUUAUUAAUUAUUAUUAUAAAUAAGUCAUUCAUUUUCCUCACCAGGGUCGCGGGGGUGCUGGAGCCUAUCCCAGCUGUCUUUGGGCGGGAGGCGGGGUACACCCUGGACUGGUGGCCAGCCAAUCACAGGGCACAUAUAGACAAACAACCAUUCACACUCACAUUCAUAUCUAUAGACAAUUUGGAGUCGCCAAUUAACCUAGCAUGUUUUUGGAAUGUGGGAGGAAACCGGAGUACCCGGAGAAAACCCACGCAUGCACGCAAACUCCACACAGAGAUGACCGAGGGUGGAAUUGAACCCUGGUCUCCUAGCUGUGAGGUCUGCGCGCUAACCACUCGCCCGCCGUGCCGCCCUAAUAUAAUAUAUUAUAUAAUAUAAUAUAUAAUUAUAUAAUAUAAUAUAAUUAUAUAAUAUAUUAUAUAAUGUAAUACUUAUGACUUAUUAUCUUAUAAUAUAUAAUAAUAUUAUAAUUAUAAUAAUUGUGACCAUUUAUGAUGAAAUAUUAUUACCAGCACAAACCAUCAUUACACCGUCACAUAAAGCAGCACAGCACCAACCUUUGUCUGCUUUGUCUCAAAGGUUGAGAGCUUUGCGUGGGCUGGCAGGAAUCUCCUGCCAAAAUGGCUGCACUGGCGAUGCAAGGUUCUGAGAGACGGACGGAACCCCAAUCAUGUCGACUCGCCUUAACAAGGCUGCCCCUGCGAGGUACACCAUUGUUACCCAGCGCUCUUUUGCAGAGCUUUUCUACCACGGUAUAUUCACUACCUGCUCCAAAAUAUCCAUCAACAAAGCCACAGCAACUUCCUGUAAGCUGCUCAAACUCCUUCCUCUGAAGUAAGGACAAAUGAAUGACACACCAAACUUUUCUCACCUUACUGCCGUUCUUGCUAAUGAGACACGAUAUUAUCUCAUAUACUGCUAUAUACCUUUUUUAAAUAUAUUACUGACCUACGAGUGGACUUCUGGUCUAAAAUGCCGCAGGUUGCUUUUUUGCCACUUUUAGAGAUUAAAAGAUUUGAUUCCUGCUGUCCAUCUGCACACAUCAUUAUCAUUUCCCUUGCUCUCUUCUGGUCCGUCUGCUCAGAUGUCGUCCUAAAACACCCCCACGACUGCCCCCUCACUUCCUCUUUCCUCCCCGUCAAACUUUCGGGGCUCUCUAACAAAGUUGGUGUGUGUUUUUUGUUUCUACGGAACGUAAGCGUGCAGAUCAUUAUCAGCAGGACAACAAUGUCCCUGCAGCAAGACGGGAGAGAUGGUGCAGGAGGAAAGGUCUCCCCAGCCAUGAAAUAAUAAAUCAUUGCAUAUCUGUGUAUAUACCUUGUUUGGGUGUUGAAAGUAAAUUC